Molecule: transfer RNA, 74 nt
Filed under: Waddliaceae bacterium
Lineage: Bacteria; Pseudomonadati; Chlamydiota; Chlamydiia; Parachlamydiales; Waddliaceae
Description: tRNA-Asp
Rfam family: tRNA
About the family: Transfer RNA (tRNA) molecules are approximately 80 nucleotides in length. Their secondary structure includes four short double-helical elements and three loops (D, anti-codon, and T loops).
Source: RNAcentral
GCGGAGGUAGUUCAAUUGGUUAGAGCACCGGCCUGUCACGCCGGAAGUUGCGAGUUCGAUCCUCGUCCUCCGCG